GGUCUUAUGGUCUAGUGGUUAGGACAUUGGACUCUGAAUCCAGUAACCCGAGUAAAAGUCUCGGUAGGACCU
This 72-nucleotide transfer RNA is filed under the name Triticum aestivum (bread wheat). It matches the Rfam family "tRNA". From Rfam's summary of the family: Transfer RNA (tRNA) molecules are approximately 80 nucleotides in length. Their secondary structure includes four short double-helical elements and three loops (D, anti-codon, and T loops). The record is from Rfam by way of RNAcentral. Lineage: Eukaryota; Viridiplantae; Streptophyta; Magnoliopsida; Poales; Poaceae.